Molecule: long non-coding RNA, 355 nt
Filed under: Capsicum annuum
Lineage: Eukaryota; Viridiplantae; Streptophyta; Magnoliopsida; Solanales; Solanaceae
Description: long non-coding RNA (CANN_LNC006504)
Source: RNAcentral
CGGUGUCCCGCGAAUGAUGUUCUUCACAAUUACACUUCUUUUCCAACACAUCUAAUAGCUUACGUUGCAAUGUAACUCUUUGAACAUAAUCCUUUGAAUUUCUUUUAUCGUUGGACCCUUACCAUCUCAAAAAUGAUUUACGCAUAGAGAUGUAGACACGUAAUUUCGUCCCUCCCCGAUAUCGUUUUACCCAUUUUUACCUUAUCCUACCGUGUACCCUCACCCAUGUAAUUACAUCCCAUAAAAAUACAAAAAAAUAACUCUCAACAAAAUUCCUUACAAACUUUUAUUCUUUUUAACAUCCUAACAACUCUUUCAAUUAAAAGAAGACACAUUACCCAUACCCCUACCCCCU